Molecule: ribosomal RNA, 510 nt
Filed under: uncultured bacterium
Lineage: Bacteria
Description: partial 16S ribosomal RNA
Rfam family: Bacterial small subunit ribosomal RNA
Source: RNAcentral
GACGAACGCUGGCGGCGUGCUUAACACAUGCAAGUCGAACGAAGAGCGAUGGAAGCUUGCUUCUCUCAAUCUUAGUGGCGAACGGGUGAGUAACGCGUAAUCAACCUGCCCUUCAGAGGGGGACAACAGUUGGAAACGACUGCUAAUACCGCAUACGAUCUAACCUCGGCAUCGAGGAUGGAUGAAAGGUGGCCUCUAUUUAUAAGCUAUCACUGCAGGAGGGGAUUGCGUCUGAUUAGCUAGUUGGAGGGGUAACGGCACACCAAGGCGAUGACCAGUAGCCGGUCUGAGAGGAUGAACGGCCACAUUGGGACUGAGACACGGCCCAGACUCCUACGGGAGGCAGCAGUGGGGAAUCUUCCGCAAUGGACGAAAGUCUGACGGAGCAACGCCGCGUGAGUGAUGACGGCCUUCGGGUUGUAAAGCUCUGUUAAUCGGGACGAAAGGCCUUCUUGCGAAUAGUUAGAAGGAUUGACGGUACCGGAAUAGAAAGCCACGGCUAACUACGUG